UACGAAGGGGGCUAGCGUUGCUCGGAAUCACUGGGCGUAAAGCGCACGUAGGCGGAUUGUUAAGUCAGGGGUGAAAUCCUGGAGCUCAACUCCAGAACUGCCUUUGAUACUGGCGAUCUCGAGUCCGGGAGAGGUGAGUGGAACUGCGAGUGUAGAGGUGAAAUUCGUAGAUAUUCGCAAGAACACCAGUGGCGAAGGCGGCUCACUGGCCCGAUACUGACGCUGAUGCACGAAAGCGUGGGGAGCAAACAGG
RNAcentral lists this ribosomal RNA (253 nucleotides) under uncultured bacterium. RNAcentral describes it as "partial 16S ribosomal RNA". It matches the Rfam family "Bacterial small subunit ribosomal RNA", at positions 524 to 776 of the family's 1533-position model. The record is from RNAcentral.